AUACGGAGGGUGCAAGCGUUAUUCGGAAUCACUGGGCGUAAAGGACGCGUAGGCGGGUUGGCAAGUCAGAUGUGAAAUCCUACAGCUUAACUGUAGAACUGCAUUUGAAACUGCUAACCUAGAGUAUGGGAGGAGGAGAUGGAAUUAGUGGUGUAGGGGUAAAAUCCGUAGAUAUCACUAGGAAUACCGAAAGCGAAGGCGAUCUCCUGGAACAUAACUGACGCUAAGGCGUGAAAGCGUGGGGAGCAAACAGGAUUAGAAACCCUAGUAGUCC
This 274-nucleotide ribosomal RNA is filed under the name uncultured bacterium. RNAcentral describes it as "partial 16S ribosomal RNA". It matches the Rfam family "Bacterial small subunit ribosomal RNA", at positions 523 to 796 of the family's 1533-position model. The record is from RNAcentral.